This 94-nucleotide small RNA is filed under the name Chryseobacterium soldanellicola. Its description in RNAcentral is "Flavo-1 RNA". It matches the Rfam family "Flavo-1 RNA". The record is from RNAcentral. Lineage: Bacteria; Pseudomonadati; Bacteroidota; Flavobacteriia; Flavobacteriales; Weeksellaceae.
CCCUAGCCCCGAUUGGAAUGACAUCCUUUUUGGUUACGGGUUCCGCUUCGCUCCACCCGUAACCAAAAAGAUAUAGUGGAAAGCGGGAAAAAGC